GCCCGCCUAGCUCAAUCGGAUAGAGCGUCAGACUCUUACAAGCGGGUGAUCUGAAGGCUGCGAGUUCGACCCUCGCGGUGGGCU
This 84-nucleotide transfer RNA is filed under the name Ganoderma leucocontextum. RNAcentral describes it as "tRNA-Lys". It matches the Rfam family "tRNA". Rfam says of the family: Transfer RNA (tRNA) molecules are approximately 80 nucleotides in length. Their secondary structure includes four short double-helical elements and three loops (D, anti-codon, and T loops). The record is from RNAcentral. Lineage: Eukaryota; Fungi; Basidiomycota; Agaricomycetes; Polyporales; Polyporaceae.